GAUCGAGAUGUUUCAAGCACUUUGCGUCAGAGUCAAUCACGCAUAAAAAGUGGGCUAACUGCACGAUUUCUUCGUGGUCUUACCUCAAUAACAGUUGUGAACCUCACCUGUAAACAAUGAAAUUUUUGGCUGUCAUUUUGGCUUUGGCCGUUUUCGCCCAGGCGGCUGAAAUCCCUAAACUUCGCAGCAAGUUGUUCCCCAGGUCGGAUCUCUUCCCCCGUGCUCCAGUACCUCAAGGACCCGGUUAUUUCGAGCCAACCAAACAAGCCCGCACUGUCGAUACCCGCGGCUUCUGUGGUCAGCGUAAAGUCGAUUCCAGCCGCAUUGUUGGCGGAGUAGAAGCUGUCCCCCAUGAAUUUCCCUGGCAGGUGGCCGUCCUUAUCGAUGGCAGUGGCUUCUGCGGAGGCAGUUUGAUCUCUCCCGACUGGGUUUUGACGGCGGCUCACUGCGCUGAUGGCGCUAACCGAUUCAGCAUCACAUUGGGCGCUCACGAUCGUACCGCUAACGAGCCAUCGCAAGUCACCGUCUCCACCACCACCUACACCGUCCACCCCGGAUGGAAUCCUUCCACCUUGGCCGAUGAUCUUGCCCUCAUCCGCUUGCCAUCUCCCGUUGCCUUCACCCCUGAAAUCGCUCCCAUCUGUUUGGCACCUUCCACCGAAUCCAACCACGUUGGAGAUACUCUCCUGGUCAGCGGAUGGGGCAAAACAGCCGACGGUAUCCUGGAAGGCGUUUCUCCAGUCCUGAUGAAGGUGACCGCCCCUGGAAUCACGACGGCCGAAUGCGCUGCCGUUUACGGUGACAUCAUUACUGACAAUAUCCUGUGUAUCGACACUACCGGAGGACAUGGCUCCUGCAACGGUGACUCUGGUGGCCCAUUGAGCUUCGACAAUGCCGGUGUUUACAACCAGGUCGGUAUCGUUAGCUUCGGUGCUCGCGCCGGUUGCGCUGAUGGAUUCCCCGCUGGAUUCACCCGUGUUUCCAGCUACAGCCAAUGGAUCGCCUGACACCACUGGUCUGAUCAUCUAAAUUUGUUUUCCCCCUUGAAUUGUGUUUUUGGGGUGUGUAUUUCGGCAUUUUAUUGUUUAUUUUUGUUUGACGCUGAUCUUGUUGUCUAAUGAGGUUCGUUUUGAAAACAUUAAACAUCAAUAUACACCAUAAGAUUUGUUGAAAAAGAAA
Molecule: RNA transcript, 1179 nt
Organism: Daphnia magna
Lineage: Eukaryota; Metazoa; Arthropoda; Branchiopoda; Diplostraca; Daphniidae
Gene name: brachyurin-like
Exons: 6
Source: RefSeq, a predicted model, not a curated record